Molecule: long non-coding RNA, 544 nt
Filed under: Salvia miltiorrhiza (redroot sage)
Lineage: Eukaryota; Viridiplantae; Streptophyta; Magnoliopsida; Lamiales; Lamiaceae
Description: long non-coding RNA (SMIL_LNC001034)
Source: RNAcentral
UGAUUUCUCUCCUCUUCGCUGCCUCAUCUCUCCCCCUAGUUCAGCCCCAAGUUCUCUGUCUUUCAACAAUUCCACGAAACCCUCAGCCCCCUAAUUUUUCUUCAACAAAAUUCCGCGAAUGCAAAAUUCACCCAACUACAAAACGAAAUCAAGAGCACAAAGUAGAAACAACCACAUUAAAUUAUACAUAUCAAAUACAUACAAUAAACCCUAGAACGCAGACAUACUCAGCAAAUUUCAGCGAGAUGCGAGAGGGCAGAGGUGAGAUUUACAAAGGGGGAAGGGGAGAGACGAUUUACAGAGGGGGAAGAGGGAGGCGACGCCGGCAGAAUAGAGGUGAAGGGAGCGCGCGGCGCCGGUGGAGCGAAGAGGGAGGAGACGCCGGUAGAACAGAGGUGAAGGGAGAGGCGUCACUUGUGAAGUUAUAGAGGGGGAAGAGGAGAGCGGAUUUACAGAGGGGGGGAAGAGGGAGGCGACGCCGGCAGAAUAGAGGUGAAGGGAGCGCGUGGCGCCGGUGGAGCGAAUUCAGAGAGGGGGAAGAAGG